Molecule: ribosomal RNA, 117 nt
Filed under: Candidatus Cloacimonadota bacterium
Lineage: Bacteria; Pseudomonadati; Candidatus Cloacimonadota
Source: RNAcentral
GAUGGUGGUAUUAGCGGUGAGGCCACACCUGUUCCCAUCCCGAACACAGCAGUUAAGCUCACCCGCGCCGAUGGUACUGCAUGGGCAACUGUGUGGGAGAGUAGGUCGCCGCCAUCG